GAUGAAGAACGUAGCGAAAUGCGAUAAGUAGUGUGAAUUGCAGAAUUCAGUGAAUCAUCGAAUCUUUGAACGCACAUUGCGCCCCUUGGUAUUCCGUGGGGCAUGUCUGUUCGAGCGUCAUUUACCCCCUCAAGCUCCGCUUGGUGUUGGGCGUCUGUCCCGCUUCGCGCGCGGACUCGCCCCAAAGGUAUUGGCAGCGGUCGUGCCAGCUUCUCGCGCAGCACAUUGCGCUUCUCGAGGCACCGGUGGGCCCGCGUCCAUCAAGCUCACCCCCCCAGUUUGACCUCGGAUCAGGUAGGGAUACCCGCUGAACUUAAGCAUAUCAAUAAGCGGAGGA
This 337-nucleotide unclassified non-coding RNA is filed under the name soil metagenome. RNAcentral describes it as "partial contains 5.8S ribosomal RNA, internal transcribed spacer 2, and large subunit ribosomal RNA". The stretch from base 1 to 120 matches the Rfam family "5.8S ribosomal RNA", at positions 35 to 154 of the family's 154-position model. The record is from RNAcentral.